Molecule: transfer RNA, 70 nt
Filed under: Phocaeicola plebeius
Lineage: Bacteria; Pseudomonadati; Bacteroidota; Bacteroidia; Bacteroidales; Bacteroidaceae
Description: Bacteroides plebeius tRNA-Lys
Rfam family: tRNA
About the family: Transfer RNA (tRNA) molecules are approximately 80 nucleotides in length. Their secondary structure includes four short double-helical elements and three loops (D, anti-codon, and T loops). Further hydrogen bonds mediate the characteristic L-shaped molecular structure. tRNAs have two regions of fundamental functional importance: the anti-codon, which is responsible for specific mRNA codon recognition, and the 3' end, to which the tRNAs corresponding amino acid is attached (by aminoacyl-tRNA synthetases). tRNAs cope with the degeneracy of the genetic code in two manners: having more than one tRNA (with a specific anti-codon) for a particular amino acid; and 'wobble' base-pairing, i.e. permitting non-standard base-pairing at the 3rd anti-codon position.
Source: RNAcentral
UAAAUUUUAGUCAGUGAGCAACUGACUCUUAAUCAGUGGGUCCAGGGUUCGAAUCCCUGAGGGUGUACAA